GAAAAGGGAAAUGGCAGCAAUCAUGCCCAAUUGAGUGUCCCAUGAUGUCAGCCGCGGCGGCUGCGCGCUCAGGAAGCGCCCGGCGAAGCUUCGCAGGUGUGGCGGCGGUGGCAGCGCUGUGGUGCCGAUUAAGACCUCAGCAGCGGUGGCGGCGGCGCCCUGACAGCACCACAAUUGCUUGCACCUGUUUCCCUGCAUGACGCGCGGGUCUGGAACGGAUUACCCUGCCUGCUGCUGGACACAUUUCCACCUCUCUGCACCCUGAGGGACUCCAGCAGCAUCUCUGCUGAAGGUCAGGCAACUAUCCUAAGGACCAGGAAAAGGCGGAGAGAGAACUUGCUGCCUGGUUUUGCUUUGCUGAAAGAUUUCAGUUGCUGUGGUGAUUCGAUAAGGACUCACUGGCUUCAGCAACAGCUUGCUCCUCUGCUCUGCAGAAGCCAGGUACUGCCUGAAAGCCCAACAGCCAGACAUCAUCCUGACCCUACCUCCAGAAACAGGCAUGGCCUUGAUCUCCCGUGCAUCGAAAUGACCUCUUCUUUCCACAGGGUUCGUAAAGGAACUUUGGAGAGCUUGUGGUCAGCUGUGGAGUACAGGGGAGCUGCUUCUGAUCAGCCGCUUGUGACUCUGGUAGCAGUGGAAGUAAAGGUAAAGCAGCUCAGAUCUUCUCCUCAAGGGCAGCUCAGAGCCUGGGAUACCUUCAGUAGAAGCAGUGUUGGUCCAGAAAGGACCUUCUCUGGAGAAGGAGAAACAGUCAAGCAGUGUGGUGUACCCAGCGCAGUGGCUAUAGUGCUGGUGGUGUGGCUGGCAAUGAAAAGACAAACCAGGGCCAAACAUCUCAGAGGGAGUGGGUCACAGGUAUCACAUCAUUUUCUUGUGCAGCACCAAAGAAAACAACUUAAUGGAAAUUCUAAUAAUUUACUUUUUUUUCUGCUGAGUGAUGCUGCUGCCUCUCACAUCCCAAAUAAAUUCCUUUAGCACAUCUUGGCCCUGAGGAGCAAAGUUAGCCAGUAGGAAGCUUUUGUGGGGAUUUAUUUUUGAAACAAAAGUGGUUUAUAUGUAGCUGCUGCUGAUUGUUACCCAGAGUCGUUAUUUCACAAACAUUAGUGAAGUAAGAGAGUCACAGGAACGGGACAGACAUGAACUGCAGCAUGAGGUCAGAUUACACAGAUAAAAUGACAUGUAGAGGACUUCAGACUACCGAGACAUAGUUCUAGGAAAUAUUUUUUUACUGUUUAGAAAGCUGAACCCACUAUUAGUGUAUAAAGAAUUCCAUUUAUGGCCUGGCACAGGUGGAACAAAGAGAAGUGCACAAGCCAUUGAAGUACCUUUAUCUGUACCGUAAGCACUAGACUAGAACCUGGGCCACCAGCUCUCAUACAGGUAAAAUCCAUGGUUCAGUCAAUGAGAGUGAAAGCUAAGUUUUGAAAAACAUCUAUAACUUACAUGGCAUGUGUGUGUAUAUACCUACAUGUACACACACACUUUAAAUGUGCAGUGACACAAUACAAUGCAAGAAGUGAAUGCAGAGUGGCUGAACCUCCUCACAGAGAAAUGCUCUGUGCAGUAUCAGAGAAAGGAAAACCUUCUUGGGCUCUCCUACCGUUACAUCCUGCAGAACAUUUUCUUACAGUGACAGGGGAAGGGAACAAUGCAGCUCUGCCAAGAGCAGGAAGGCCACUCCGUGAGCGACAUUUUCUGGUACAGAGCUUGCCAACUCCCCAUGUGACCUUCUAUGCUGGGAGGGUGAAAUUUGGUCACUCAUUUGAAGUUUGGUCACUCAUUUGAAGUUUGGUCACUCAUUUGAAGCAGAGUGAUUGUUUCUGAGCUAUGACUUCUCUGGACUUCAUCCCAGGGUUUUCUGAUGCUGCCUGAGCACAGAAGGGGUAGGUGACACCUCCCAGGAACAUGCCCAGAGAGCACCCUUGGGAUGGGUGCAAAGUAGUUCAUUUAAGCAGGCAGAGCUGGUGAUGUGGGCUAGCUCUUCAGAGGUGGGAAGACUUGAAAGAAACAUUAAAAGACUAAUAUUCCAAAAUUCACCAAAAUUUGCCAAGUUCACUGUACAAGGACAUUUUGUUUGUGCCAGUGACCCUUCACACCCCGGGCAGUCGUGCCAGCUGUUGGGCUAUUAUCUGCGCACUGUCUACAGAACAUGCCAACAGACCUGCCAGGUGCGGAGGUGUGGAAGCAGAGCUGAGGCCAGGCGGACUCCGUGCUUUUGGCCCCAGACCCUCGGACUCCGUGCUUCUUCCACUUGGUCAGCGUUCCGAGGAUCCUGGGCAGCUCCCACGGAUCCCAGACAUCCCUUUCACAGCCUCAGCACCUUCUGAGCAGCUCCUCCAGAGGUCCGGUAGCACUCAGCCAUCAGCUGACCAUGCCCCUCUUUGAGUCUACGUUGGCCUGUGAGAGAGAAGUUUAUCACCCUGGAAUGACAUUGAGCCUACGUCUGUAUGUGCUACUGGUGUGGAAAUCCUUGGCAUCUCUAGACUCUGAGUGAUGCUGACACGAUGGCUGAACACCUUGUACCCAAGCUUUUAUGUGCUCUUAUUUUGGUUUAUGCUUUCCCUUUGUGUUUUGCCCCAUCUCUGGCUCUCACAGGAA
Pogoniulus pusillus (Red-fronted tinkerbird) is the source of this 2598-nucleotide long non-coding RNA. RefSeq lists it as uncharacterized. Lineage: Eukaryota; Metazoa; Chordata; Aves; Piciformes; Lybiidae. The record is from RefSeq and is a predicted model, not a curated record. The transcript is spliced from 2 exons.